This 497-nucleotide ribosomal RNA is filed under the name uncultured bacterium. RNAcentral's name for it is "partial 16S ribosomal RNA". It matches the Rfam family "Bacterial small subunit ribosomal RNA", at positions 28 to 507 of the family's 1533-position model. The record is from RNAcentral.
GAUGAACGCUGGCGGCGUGCCUAAUACAUGCAAGUCGAGCGAACGGACGAGAAGCUUGCUUCUCUGAUGUUAGCGGCGGACGGGUGAGUAACACGUGGAUAACCUACCUAUAAGACUGGGAUAACUUCGGGAAACCGGAGCUAAUACCGGAUAAUAUUUUGAACCGCAUGGUUCAAAAGUGAAAGACGGUCUUGCUGUCACUUAUAGAUGGAUCCGCGCUGCAUUAUCUAGUUGGUAAGGUAACGGCUUACCAAGGCAACGAUGCAUAGCCGACCUGAGAGGGUGAUCGGCCCAACUGGAACUGAGACACGGUCCAGACUCCUACGGGAGGCAGCAGUAGGGAAUCUUCCGCAAUGGGCGAAAGCCUGACGGAGCAACGCAGCGUGAGGGAUGAAGGUCUUCGGAUCGUAAAAAUCUGUUAUUAGGGAAGAACAUAUGUGUAAGUAACUGUGCACAGCUUGACGGUACCUAAUCAGAAAGCCACGGCUAACUACGUG